UCAUUCGACUUCUAUAUUAAACGAGUAAAGCAAGUAAGUUUUUCAUGAUCAUGGUAGAGGCUGCCUACUCUAAAUGUUUGAGUGAUUUGUUAAUCACAAACAAGCCUCAAUGUAAUUAAAUGUUUUCUUCCCAACUUUUAAUUCAAAUUCUAAAAGAUUUCAGUAAUCUGAUAUUAUUAUAGUUUUGCAUGGUGUAAAUUUGUUGAGUUUGAUAUACUUUCUCCACAGACGUGGGAGUGCAGAGUGCAAGACAUCAGCGUCAUUGAGGUCUCUCUUACAGAAGCAUUACAGAUGUGCAGAAUUUCACACGCAUUGUGCAACUGAAGUCCAAGUUUAUGCCAGAACUUGACAUCUGCUCCAGGCUGUCUGCUGAGUGCCAUAGGAAGGGAGGAGAAACAAGACAUAAGAUUAAGGAGAUCAUGGCUGCCAUUGAUCGGAAUCCCAUCAUUGGCUCGUUGAGAGUUUGCCACCUGCAAGCACUUGUUGUGUACUUGAAGGCCCUGAGAAACUCAAAGGAAUACCUA
Molecule: long non-coding RNA, 524 nt
Organism: Sardina pilchardus (European sardine)
Lineage: Eukaryota; Metazoa; Chordata; Actinopteri; Clupeiformes; Clupeidae
Exons: 3
Source: RefSeq, a predicted model, not a curated record